Molecule: ribosomal RNA, 2100 nt
Filed under: Asellaria ligiae
Lineage: Eukaryota; Fungi; Kickxellomycota; Asellariomycetes; Asellariales
Description: partial 28S ribosomal RNA
Rfam family: Eukaryotic large subunit ribosomal RNA
Source: RNAcentral
AGGGAGAAAGGAAACUAACAUGGAUUUUUUUUUUGUAACGGCGAGUGAAGAGAAGACAAUAAGUUUAUCCCAAGAUUGGCAAGCUUAAAAUACUUGUCAAGGUUUAGGGUUUACAAAUGCAUCUGCUUACUUAUUUGCAAAUAUGUAGGGUAUGUAAAAAAAAAAAUUUUUUUUUUUUUUGUGUGCUGGAACUCGGCAUGUAUAAUGUUCUUGAAUGGGCAUCCAUAGAAGGGGAAAGACCGGUAUUAAGCAUUGAUCCGAGAACUCCCCAGUUCAGAUGUAUUUUAUGAGUCGGGUUGUUUGGUAUUACAACUUAAAUUAGAUUCGCAUCUUUUUGCGUUUCGAUUCAGUCUUUUUGUAUUAAAAAAAGAGUCACUGAGAGGGUGGUAAACUCCAUCUAAAACUAAAUAUAACAGGAAACCGAUAGUGCACAAGUACCGCAAGGGAAAGAUGAAAAAGAACCUAGUAAUGGGUAUGAAAUUAGAACGUGAAAUUGCUAAAGGGGAAGCGAUUGUCGGGUGUACUGGUAGCUGAAUUGGGAGGAAAAGGAGGGGUGUAAAAGCCUACCCGCCUCUUUUUUUUGGUUAUCGGAGUAAGUAAAAACCGACUACAAUUUUUCUGGAGUGUUUGUUAGCAAGUUUCGACGCUUUUUUAAAAAUUUUUUUUUUGAAAAAGAGGUCACUCUUGAAAAACAGCUCCCGUUAGAAAAAAAUUGUCAGCUAUUUUGUAAAAAAAAAAUUUUUUUUUUUUUACAGAGCAUCAGGCUUUUUUUUUGAGAAAAAUAGGACUAAAUGUCAGUAAUGACAAGGCAAAGUCGGUCCCCUUUUCCAUUAUUAAUUUUCAAAUAUUAUGGAAAACCAAGGGAGCAUCAUGAUAAUCAGCCCGUCUUGAAACACGGACCAAGGAGUGCAUUGUAUACGCGAGUGUAAAGGAUAUACAAUCAUGCUAAUUGUAUAAUAUGUAAAACCUUGACGCAUAAUGAAAGUGAUAAUUUUGAGUUGAGAUCCUAGUUAUUUCCUCAUAUGGCCAUUAAGAAGCCUUGACGUCCCGCAUUGUUGGGGCUAGACUGCCGUUUCUUCCCUUUUUCCUCAAAGAAAAAGGUGGAUAUCGCCGCAUCGGUUCAUGGAGAGAUUUUAGGCCUGACCGGCUUUAUUAUUGAAUUUAGCCGAGUUAAAGCGUGUAUAAUGCGACCCGAAAGAUGGUGAACUUGGCCUGAACUGGGUGACGGUAAAGAGAAAUUUUUACUAGAAGCCCUAAGCAGUUUUGACGUGCAAAUCGAUUGUGUGAGUUGGGUCAAGGGGCGAAAGACUAAUCGAACCAUCUAGUAGCUGGUUCCUGCCGAAGUAUCCCUAAGGAUAGCUGAGCUUGGAAACGUAGUUUUAUGCGAUAAGGCAACUGAUAAGAGUGAUUCACGAGUAUCCAUUGAUACUUUGAACUAUUAACAAACUUUAAAUGCGUAAUACUGGGAGUAAGUUACUGCAGCCUUUUUGAUGUGUAAGCCAAAAAUAUGUGGGCAGUUUGGAAGAAAUACCAGAGAUACUUGCUUUUUGGGCUGCAAUCGCUAUUUUUUAACUGUUACUGCAUUGCGUAUUCACAUUAAUGGAUGGAAUCCUUUUGUAGCUUAAAAAACGGGGAGUCUCAGGAAUAUCAUCCUUAAAAGAAGCAUAUUUCCUUGGAAACAUAGCAAAUGCUCAGGUCUCAAUAUUUAGUUAUAGAGAACUACUCCCGCAAUACAUCGAGCUUUAGUGGGCCAAUUUUGGUAAGCAGAAUUCUGGCGAUGUGGGAUGAACCAAACGCAGAGAUAAGGUGCCUAAAUAUCCGCUAAUCUAGAUCCCAAGAAAAGUGUCAGAUUAUAUAGACAACAGGACGGUGGCCAUGGAAGUUGGAACCCGCUAAGGAGUGUGUAACAACUCACCUGUCAAAUGAUUUGGUCUUGAAAAUGGAUGGCGCUCAAGCGGUUUACCGAUACUCUGCCGGAGUUAGGCUUUUGAGUAGCUUUUUAGACGUUAAAUCGCUCAUUUGCCCUCCGUGUAGGCAGGCGUAAGGGUUCCUUUCCUUAAAUUUAUUUUAAGGAGACCUGCGAAAAAGGACCUCGCGUAA